This 228-nucleotide unclassified non-coding RNA is filed under the name uncultured fungus. Its description in RNAcentral is "partial contains 18S rRNA, ITS1, 5.8S rRNA, ITS2 and 28S rRNA". The record is from RNAcentral. Lineage: Eukaryota; Fungi.
AAGGAUCAUUAAACGCAAUUGGUUAUACAUUUCAUGUAUCAACUGCAUAAACCCAUUCCGAGUACCUUGCCUGUUGCUUCCAUGGGGCCUGACCUUGGUCACUCUUGAGAUGUGAAUCCCAGGAGAGUUCCCAUGGGAGGUAAUCAUUAAAUUCAUGUAUCCAAUGUCUUCUGUCUGAACUGUUUAUAACGAAUGUUAAAACUUUCAACAACGGAUCUCUUGGUUCUC